UUUAUAGCUCAAGAAGCUAGAAUGAGAAUAUUUGAAAGUUAGUUGUUCUGUUUGUCAAUUCCUUCUCUUUUCUAUAAUGCUGGGGCCGCUGGGGCAUAGACGAAGUUUGCAACACGAAGAAGGAAGUAAAACUGCCAUGCAAGAAAUGGAGUCAAAAUGGAGUAAACUCUUGAAAUGAAGCUGUGAAUCCAGAUGAGAAAUAGAGAGAACAGACAUUUUUUAUCAAGGCCUGGACAGUUUAUAUAUUAUUGUUGGAUCUCAUGCAAUGCCAUACAGAAAAAAUGUUGUCACUGUUCUUUUAUUCUUCUUUCCAGACCCUGGCACUGCAGAAUGAUGAAUUCAGAGGAACGAUGCUGAUUCUUAAGCUGGGUUUACCCCUUGAAACGGGAGGUUUCAGUUGCGCCAACAGCGAUUGUUGCGCCAGACCCAACCCCUCUGGCAACGGUGGCAACUGUUGUCAUACCAAUACCACCCCGACUGGCAGCGCUGGGCAGCAGCCUUUGCGAUCCCUCCCACGUCCACGCCCAUGGCCAGCAUCAUCCCAAACAUGGCAAGUGCCAAAAACAUCACCAAGAAAGCCUUGUUCUCCAUGAUUUGCUGCUCAGACUAAGAUCAAGCAGGCUUGUAUAUUAGAGAGAAAUGGUUUGAUCUUUGAGCCAGGCUCGUAUUUAUAGCUCGAGGCAGCACAGAAUGUUAGAUGGACGCUGGAGAGUUGUCUUGGGACGGCUUCGCUUAUUUCUUAUCUCUGAA
RNAcentral lists this long non-coding RNA (750 nucleotides) under Selaginella moellendorffii. RNAcentral's name for it is "long non-coding RNA (SMOE_LNC001003)". The record is from RNAcentral. Lineage: Eukaryota; Viridiplantae; Streptophyta; Lycopodiopsida; Selaginellales; Selaginellaceae.